RNAcentral lists this ribosomal RNA (251 nucleotides) under uncultured bacterium. RNAcentral's name for it is "partial 16S ribosomal RNA". It matches the Rfam family "Bacterial small subunit ribosomal RNA", at positions 524 to 776 of the family's 1533-position model. The record is from RNAcentral.
UACGAAGGGGCUAGCGUUGCUCGGAAUCACUGGGCGUAAAGCGCACGUAGGCGGGUCCUUAAGUCGGGGUGAAAUCCCGGAGCUCAACUCCGGAACUGCCUUCGAUACUGGGGACCUCGAGUCCGGGAGAGGUGAGUGGAACUGCGAGUGGUAGAGGUGAAAUUCGUAGAUAUUCGCAAGAACACCAGUGGCGAAAGGCGGCUCACUGGCCCGGUACUGACGCUGAGGUGCGAAAGCGUGGGAGCAACAGG